RNAcentral lists this ribosomal RNA (543 nucleotides) under uncultured bacterium. Its description in RNAcentral is "bacterial SSU rRNA". It matches the Rfam family "Bacterial small subunit ribosomal RNA", at positions 777 to 1311 of the family's 1533-position model. The record is from RNAcentral.
AAUAGAUACCCUGGUAGUCCACGCCGUAAACGGUGGGCACUAGGUGUGGGCGACAUUCCACGUCGUCCGUGCCGCAGCUAACGCAUUAAGUGCCCCGCCUGGGGAGUACGGCCGCAAGGCUAAAACUCAAAGGAAUUGACGAGGGCCCGCACAAGCGGCGGAGCGUGUGGCUUAAUUCGACGCAACGCGAAGAACCUUACCAAGGCUUGACAUACACCGGAAACGUCCAGAGAUGGGCGCCCCCUUGUGGUCGGUGUACAGGUGGUGCAUGGCUGUCGUCAGCUCGUGUCGUGAGAUGUUGGGUUAAGUCCCGCAACGAGCGCAACCCUUGUCCCGUGUUGCCAGCAGGCCCUUGUGGUGCUGGGGACUCACGGGGAGACCGCCGGGGUCAACUCGGAGGAAGGUGGGGACGACGUCAAGGUCAUCAUGCCCCUUAUGUCUUGGGCUGCACACGUGCUACAAUGGCCGGUACAAUGAGCUGCGAUACCGCGAGGUGGAGCGAAUCUCAAAAAGCCGGUCUCAGUUCGGAUUGGGGUCUGCAAC